UGACCCGUGGUGUAAUGGUAGCACUGCAGAUUCUGAUUCUGCCUGUUGGGGUUCGAGUCCCUGCGGGUCAACCA
This 74-nucleotide transfer RNA is filed under the name bacterium. RNAcentral describes it as "tRNA-Gln". It matches the Rfam family "tRNA". From Rfam's summary of the family: Transfer RNA (tRNA) molecules are approximately 80 nucleotides in length. Their secondary structure includes four short double-helical elements and three loops (D, anti-codon, and T loops). Further hydrogen bonds mediate the characteristic L-shaped molecular structure. tRNAs have two regions of fundamental functional importance: the anti-codon, which is responsible for specific mRNA codon recognition, and the 3' end, to which the tRNAs corresponding amino acid is attached (by aminoacyl-tRNA synthetases). tRNAs cope with the degeneracy of the genetic code in two manners: having more than one tRNA (with a specific anti-codon) for a particular amino acid; and 'wobble' base-pairing, i.e. permitting non-standard base-pairing at the 3rd anti-codon position. RNAcentral also lists the same sequence under 1 other name. The record is from RNAcentral.